This 463-nucleotide unclassified non-coding RNA is filed under the name Hevea brasiliensis (rubber tree). Lineage: Eukaryota; Viridiplantae; Streptophyta; Magnoliopsida; Malpighiales; Euphorbiaceae. The record is from RNAcentral.
AAAAAAAGUCCUAAUUAAACGAAUUUCUUCCUUUGAAAUUUUUGGGGAGUGGAGAGAAAGUAAGAACCCAUCAAAACAUUGAUUCAAAUCAAAUAAUAAUCAUAUAAAGGAACAUAAGUAAGCAAAGAAAAAGAAAAAGGAGAUUAACAAGGAUCAAUCAUAGCUACAAAGCCCAGCAUCUUUCAAGUUGGGUGCCAAUCAGCCACCAACUUAUUUGAGAUAAAAGUAGCAACAACAUGAGAUUCAAGCAUAGCGCAACAACAUGAGAUUCAAGCAUAGCGCAACAAUGACAAUAGAGUUCGAGAGAGGAAGCCAACAGAUCAUGAGUUCGAGAGAGGAAGCCAGGAGAUUGCAAGAAACAGUAAUAUAUUGAGGAAGACUUUUAUAGUGGCCUGGUUUGAUGACUUAUGAGCCACAAGACCUAGAGGACAGAGGUGUCAAGCAAGGUAGAGUCGUAGAGAUA